RNAcentral lists this unclassified non-coding RNA (217 nucleotides) under Hevea brasiliensis (rubber tree). Lineage: Eukaryota; Viridiplantae; Streptophyta; Magnoliopsida; Malpighiales; Euphorbiaceae. The record is from RNAcentral.
AAUGCUUCCUCAAAGCACCUGCAUCAAUAAAUGUUUUUCCACAGCCUUCAUAGCUACAAAGGAAAAGCACUUCAGUGGUGGGUUCUGGUUCAGGUUCUGGUGCCUCUGACUGUUUUGCCUUCUCCUUUAAUGCCUUUAAUGUAUCCUCUGGAACCCAUUUCAAAAGAAAGCACUUUCCUCCAGUCGCAACAACAUCUUGGGGGACCCAUUCUUUGAU